RNAcentral lists this microRNA (23 nucleotides) under Sphenodon punctatus (tuatara). RNAcentral describes it as "Spt-Mir-221-P1c_5p* (star (passenger))". The record is from RNAcentral. Lineage: Eukaryota; Metazoa; Chordata; Lepidosauria; Sphenodontia; Sphenodontidae. RNAcentral also lists the same sequence under 2 other names.
UGCUCAGUAGUUGGUGUAGGAUC